ACGGGAGGCAGCAGUGGGGAAUAUUGGGCAAUGGAGGAAACUCUGACCCAGCAACGCCGCGUGGAGGAAGAAGGUUUUCGGAUCGUAAACUCCUGUCCUUGGAGACGAGUAGAAGACGGUAUCCAAGGAGGAAGCCCCGGCUAACUACGUGCCAGCAGCCGCGGUAAUACGUAGGGGGCAAGCGUUGUCCGGAAUAAUUGGGCGUAAAGGGCGCGUAGGCGGCUCGGUAAGUCUGGAGUGAAAGUCCUGCUUUUAAGGUGGGAAUUGCUUUGGAUACUGUCGGGCUUGAGUGCAGGAGAGGUUAGUGGAAUUCCCAGUGUAGCGGUGAAAUGCGUAGAGAUUGGGAGGAACACCAGUGGCGAAGGCGACUAACUGGACUGUAACUGACGCUGA
Molecule: ribosomal RNA, 393 nt
Filed under: uncultured bacterium
Lineage: Bacteria
Description: bacterial SSU rRNA
Rfam family: Bacterial small subunit ribosomal RNA
Source: RNAcentral